RNAcentral lists this ribosomal RNA (500 nucleotides) under uncultured bacterium. RNAcentral describes it as "partial 16S ribosomal RNA". It matches the Rfam family "Bacterial small subunit ribosomal RNA", at positions 30 to 523 of the family's 1533-position model. The record is from RNAcentral.
AUUGAACGCUGGCGGCAUGCCUUACACAUGCAAGUCGAACGGCAGCACGGGAGCAAUCCUGGUGGCGAGUGGCGAACGGGUGAGUAAUAUAUCGGAACGUGCCCAGUCGUGGGGGAUAACGCAGCGAAAGCUGUGCUAAUACCGCAUACGAUCUAAGGAUGAAAGCGGGGGAUCGCAAGACCUCGCGCGAUUGGAGCGGCCGAUAUCAGAUUAGCUAGUUGGUGGGGUAAAGGCCCACCAAGGCGACGAUCUGUAGCUGGUCUGAGAGGACGACCAGCCACACUGGAACUGGGACACGGUCCAGACUCCUACGGGAGGCAGCAGCGGGGAAUUUUGGACAAUGGGCGCAAGCCUGAUCCAGCAAUGCCGCGUGCAGGAUGAAGGCCUUCGGGUUGUAAACUGCUUUUGUACGGAACGAAACAGCCCUUUCUAAUACAGGGGGCUAAUGACGGUACCGUAAGAAUAAGCACCGGCUAACUACGUGCCAGCCGCCGCCGUAA